RNAcentral lists this ribosomal RNA (460 nucleotides) under uncultured bacterium. Its description in RNAcentral is "partial 16S ribosomal RNA". It matches the Rfam family "Bacterial small subunit ribosomal RNA", at positions 338 to 795 of the family's 1533-position model. The record is from RNAcentral.
CCUACGGGAUGCAGCAGUGAGGAAUAUUGGUCAAUGGGCGCGAGCCUGAACCAGCCAAGUAGCGUGAAGGAUGACUGCCCUACGGGUUGUAAACUUCUUUUAUAAAGGAAUAAAGUGAGGCACGUGUGCCUUUUUGUAUGUACUUUAUGAAUAAGGAUCGGCUAACUCCGUUCCAUCAGCCGCGGUAAUACGGAGGAUCCGAGCGUUAUCCGGAUUUAUUGGGUUUAAAGUGAGCGUAGAUGGGUUGUUAAGUCAGUUGUGAAAGUUUGCGGCUCAACCGGAAAAUUGCAAUUGAUACUGGCAGUCUUGAGUACAGUUGAGGUAGGCGGAAUUCGUGGUGUAGCGGUGAAAUGCUUAGAUAUCACGAAGAACGCCGAUUGCGAAGGCAGCUUACUAAACUGCCACUGACAUUGAUGCUCGAAAGUGUGGGUAUCAAACAGGAGUAGAUACCCGUGUAGUC